CCCUGUGCCAUAUGAUGACCUGUGCCAUCUCAGGGCUCUAGAGAGCCCCCAGCUGCAAGAAAGCUCUCACCAGAUGCACCCCUCAACAUUGGACUUUCCAACCUCCAGAACUAAAACUUAAUGGAAGGAGGAAGAUCAUGAGGAAAUUAGAACUUUUAUAAAAGAAAAGCAAAAGUCCAAAGAUAGUUUUUGACAUUCAAACAGCAUACUGCCAUCGAACGUGGAAGUCAGGAUGACACAGUCAUGAUCUAUGGUUUCUCCAAAAGCCUGUAGCUCCCACUUACUGUAUCAAGAGUUUAACUUCAGGAUUGACCUGGAGAAAAACCAUCACUCCUGGGCCAGAGGGGAUCUGGGGCACAAGACAGAGAAAGCCAGAAAACUAGCACAGCAUGUCUUGAUUCUCUCUACAGGCUUCACUUUGGGUAUCUUAGUUAAACUGGGGAAACAGUGAGGACACUGCCCAUUGUCCCCUUUUGAGCUACCCUUGCUACUCCAAUCUGAGGCACAGCCAGCCACGUGAACUGGGAUCUGGUUUCUGGGAGGUGCAGCUAAGACCCAGGAGUUGCUGAGAAUCUUUUUGGGGAGCUUUCCAAAAGUGGAUGCCAAGCAGGGGUGAGGUGGCUCUGUAGCAAGGACUGCAGAGGUGAUGAGAUGACCACUCAGUCAUAGUCAGGCUCCAGAGGGCCACAGGAAGCAGAGAGAAGGCUGAAUCAGGGAGGUAGCACACCCACCCAGAGUAUCGUCUGAACCAACAGAAGGAACCAUAAGUCACUCCAGUCAUCGACUUCAGACAGUAGAGCCCAGGAAGCAAGAAGAUCUGCAACCCAAGUGCUUUUUUUCUAUCUUAGAGUGGAACUUAACGUGAGAUUCUGGAGAUAGAGAAAUCUGAAAGCUCUCCCUAAAGGGACUAAUUAAAUUAAUGGAUGGAACAAAAUGUAAACAUGAUUAGAGAAUGCAUAAGGCUCACAAAGAAGGUCAGAUCUGUUAAUGACAAAAUAAAAAGAUGAUGUUCUCUUUGCACAUUCAAACUGUAGUGUGAACUAAAAUACUCAACCCUGUCAAACACAUAAUUUAGUUUAAAGAGUUAAACAGCAAGAUGCAGAGGUGAAAUAUUACUUGUUUAAACAAACUUUGACUUUUUAAAAAGCAAUAUCAUCAAGCAUUUCAUUUUGGCUGAAUAUAUUAAGGUUCCUCAGGAAUAUUUGUUUCUUUUGCUGAGCAAUG
RNAcentral lists this long non-coding RNA (1224 nucleotides) under Homo sapiens (human). RNAcentral describes it as "HSALNT0362103". The record is from RNAcentral. Lineage: Eukaryota; Metazoa; Chordata; Mammalia; Primates; Hominidae.